Long non-coding RNA from Populus euphratica (Euphrates poplar), 869 nucleotides. RefSeq lists it as uncharacterized. The transcript is spliced from 2 exons. NCBI's taxonomy places the organism in Eukaryota, Viridiplantae, Streptophyta, Magnoliopsida, Malpighiales, Salicaceae. The record is from RefSeq and is a predicted model, not a curated record.
CGUCUUUAGGGUUGUAUACAAUACAAUAAUGGAAUAGGGUUGUAUACAAUACAAUAAUGAAAUGUAUUACAUAUGAUAACUAUUUCUAUAUAAUGUAUUUACAUAUAUGUGGACUCUUUACUUAAUACUAAGGAAUAGCCACACAAGUUCUCAUAUCAUUUGAUUCCUAUGGUAUUAUGAUGGAAGCAUUGAAAUGGAUAUAGCACCAUGGAGUGUUUACUUUGGUGAAUUAAGGCCUAGCAUUGACGGAUGGUCCUAUCGAUCGGUUUGCCUGGCUUGAGGUCACUAACCUACCAAUUGUUUAUUGGAAGGAGCAUGAUCCUCUGCAUUUUCCAGUCUUUGACGCUAUUGAGUACAACAUGAAGGCCUUUAACCUCAUGCUGGAGGAAGAAGAAGAUGCAACAGAGUCCAGUAGUGAUGGCUCUCCAAAGGCUGAAAGCGUGGAAAGAGGGAUGGCUCUAUUCCAUCUCAUUCUGGUUGUGUACGCUAUUGGUGGGUCUAAAAAGUUUUUAAAACUUUCUAAAAUAUUAAAUAUUAUUUUUGCAUAAUUUUAUUCUUGUUAAUUACUAUAAUUAAUUAUUAGAAAAGAUUCAAGGCAGCUCAUUUCACUCCAGAACAUAUAUUAUUAUUAUUAUUAUUAUAAAACACAUUGAAUUUUAGUGAUUAAAGCGCACACAUUAUUAUUAUUCAAUAUCGACACAGACAAGAUACAUAGAGGGAUGACCGUCUUGAUUACAUAAAUACCCACAAUAUCAGAAGGCAUCGCCGUUUCAUGCUACAACCUCCAUAGAAGGGAAGCAUGUAAGGAGCCAGUCUUGUCAUGUGAGUGAAUAUAUAUGGUAGCCUAGCAAGCCAAACCAAAAGGUACA